GACAACCUGGUUGAUCCUGCCAGUAGUCAUAUGCUUGUCUCAAAGAUUAAGCCAUGCAUGUCUCAGUACAAGCCAAAUUAAGGUGAAACCGCGAAAGGCUCAUUAAAUCAGUUAUGGUUCCUUAGAUCGUACCAACAUUUACUUGGAUAACUGUGGUAAUUCUAGAGCUAAUACAUGCAAACAGAGCUUCGACCGGAGACGGAAGAGGCGCUUUUAUUAGAUCAAAACCAAUCGGCGGCGGGUUCGCUUGCGGGCUCGUCGUCGUUUUCACUGACGAAUCUGAAUAACUUUCUGCUGAUCGCACGGUCUCGCACCGGCGACGCAUCUUUCAAAUGUCUGCCUUAUCAACUGUCGAUGGUAGGUUCUGUGCCUACCAUGGUUGUAACGGGUAACGGGGAAUCAGGGUUCGAUUCCGGAGAGGGAGCCUGAGAAACGGCUACCACAUCCAAGGAAGGCAGCAGGCGCGCAAAUUACCCACUCCCGGCACGGGGAGGUAGUGACGAAAAAUAACGAUACGGGACUCAUCCGAGGCCCCGUAAUCGGAAUGAGAACAAUUUAAAUCCUUUAACGAGGAUCAAUUGGAGGGCAAGUCUGGUGCCAGCAGCCGCGGUAAUUCCAGCUCCAAUAGCGUAUAUUAAAGUUGUUGCGGUUAAAAAGCUCGUAGUCGAAUCUGUGUCCCGCGCCGCCGGUUCGUCGCUCGCGGCGUUUAACUGGCGUGUCCGCGGGACGUCCUGCCGGUGGGCUUAGCCUUUUCAUUAAGGCGGCCCAAUCUUAAUCCCGCCGCGGUGCUCUUCACCGAGUGUCGAGGCGGGCCGGCACGUUUACUUUGAACAAAUUAGAGUGCUUAAAGCAGGCUAAAACUUCGCCUGAAUACUUCGUGCAUGGAAUAAUGGAAUAGGACCUCGGUUCUAUUUUGUUGGUUUUCGGAACCCCGAGGUAAUGAUUAAUAGGAACGGAUGGGGGCAUUCGUAUUGCGACGUUAGAGGUGAAAUUCUUGGAUCGUCGCAAGACGGACAGAAGCGAAAGCAUUUGCCAAAAACGUUUUCAUUGAUCAAGAACGAAAGUUAGAGGUUCGAAGGCGAUCAGAUACCGCCCUAGUUCUAACCAUAAACNAUGCCAGCUAGCGAUCCGCCGACGUUCCUNCNAUGACUCGGCGGGCAGCUUCCGGGAAACCAAAGCUUUUGGGUUCCGGGGGAAGUAUGGUUGCAAAGCUGAAACUUAAAGGAAUUGACGGAAGGGCACCACCAGGAGUGGAGCCUGCGGCUUAAUUUGACUCAACACGGGAAACCUCACCAGGCCCGGACACCGGAAGGAUUGACAGAUUGAGAGCUCUUUCUUGAUUCGGUGGGUGGUGGUGCAUGGCCGUUCUUAGUUGGUGGAGCGAUUUGUCUGGUUAAUUCCGAUAACGAACGAGACUCA
Molecule: ribosomal RNA, 1419 nt
Filed under: Microtrichalus sp. BM0147
Lineage: Eukaryota; Metazoa; Arthropoda; Insecta; Coleoptera; Lycidae
Description: SSU rRNA
Rfam family: Eukaryotic small subunit ribosomal RNA
Source: RNAcentral